UAAGGAAUAUUGGACAAUGGUCGCAAGACUGAUCCAGCCAUGCCGCGUGCAGGAAGACGGCCCUAUGGGUUGUAAACUGCUUUUGUACCAGAGAAAACCUAUCUACGUGUAGAUAGCUGAUAGUAUGGUAAGAAUAAGCAUCGGCUAACUUCGUGCCAGCAGCCGCGGUAAGACGAAGGAUGCAAGCGUUAUCCGGAUUCAUUGGGUUUAAAGGGUGCGUAGGCGGGCUUGUAAGUCAGUGGUGAAAUCUCUCAGCUUAACUGAGAAACUGCCAUUGAUACUGCAGGCCUAGAGUAUAGAUGACGUUGGCGGAAUAUGACAUGUAGUGGUGAAAUACUUAGAUAUGUCAUAGAACACCGAUUGCGAAGGCAGCUAACGAAACUAUAACUGACGCUGAGGCACGAAAGCGCGGGGAUCAAACA
This 422-nucleotide ribosomal RNA is filed under the name uncultured bacterium. RNAcentral describes it as "bacterial SSU rRNA". It matches the Rfam family "Bacterial small subunit ribosomal RNA", at positions 355 to 774 of the family's 1533-position model. The record is from RNAcentral.